RNAcentral lists this ribosomal RNA (923 nucleotides) under uncultured SAR86 cluster bacterium. Its description in RNAcentral is "bacterial SSU rRNA". It matches the Rfam family "Bacterial small subunit ribosomal RNA", at positions 394 to 1309 of the family's 1533-position model. The record is from RNAcentral. Lineage: Bacteria; Pseudomonadati; Pseudomonadota; Gammaproteobacteria.
AUACCGCGUGUGUGAAGAAGGCCUUCGGGUUGUAAAGCACUUUAAGCAGGGAGAAAAAGUUAUAAGCUAAUACCUUAUAACCGUGAUGUUACCUGCAGAAUAAGCACCGGCUAAUUCCGUGCCAGCAGCCGCGGUAAUACGGAAGGUGCAAGCGUUAAUCGGAAUUACUGGGCGUAAAGCGCGCGUAGGUGGUUUGUUAAGUUGGAUGUGAAAGCCCUGGGCUCAANCCUAGGAACUGCAUCCAAAACUAACUCANCUAGAGUACGAUAGAGGGAGGUAGAAUUCAUAGUGUAGCGGUGGAAUGCGUANAUAUUAUGAAGAAUACCAGUGGCGAAGGCGGCCUCCUGGAUCUGUACUGACACUGAGGUGCGAAAGCGUGGGUAGCGAACAGGAUUAGAUACCCUGGUAGUCCACGCCGUAAACGAUGACAACUAGCUGUUGNAAGAUAAUGUCUUUCAGUGGCGCAGCUAACGUUUUAAGUUGUCCGCCUGGGGAGUACGGCCGCAAGGCUAAAACUCAAAUGAAUUGACGGGGACCCGCACAAGCGGUGGAGCAUGUGGUUUAAUUCGAUGCAACGCGAAAAACCUUACCUACUCUUGACAUACUUGGGAGCUCUUGUAAUGAGAGUGUGCCUUUUGGAACCAAGAUACAGGUGCUGCAUGGCUGUCGUCAGCUCGUGUCGUGAGAUGUUCCGUUAAGUCGGAUAACGAGCGCAACCCUUACCCUUAUUUGCCAGCGAUUCGGUCGGGAACUAUAAGGGGACUGCCGGUGAUAAACCGGAGGAAGGUGAGGACGACGUCAAGUCAUCAUGGCCCUUACGAGUAGGGCUACACACGUGCUACAAUGGGGAAUACAGACGGACGCUAAGCCGCGAGGUGGUGCUAAUCCUAGAAAGUUUCUCGUAGUCCGGAUUGGAGUCUGCA